This 344-nucleotide unclassified non-coding RNA is filed under the name uncultured fungus. RNAcentral describes it as "partial contains 5.8S ribosomal RNA, internal transcribed spacer 2, and large subunit ribosomal RNA". The stretch from base 1 to 52 matches the Rfam family "5.8S ribosomal RNA", at positions 103 to 154 of the family's 154-position model. Lineage: Eukaryota; Fungi. The record is from RNAcentral.
AACGCAUAUUGCGCCUUCCGGUAUUCCGGGAGGCAUGCCUGUUUGAGCGUCAGUUCGUACUCACAAUAAUAAAUUAUUGUUUAUUAAUGGUUUUGGCAUUGUGGUUAUGAGUUGUGGGCAGCUUCUCAGCAGAAGCCUUGCCCUAACUUUAAAUAAAUGUCCAUCUUUGAUUGACAAGAGUAAAUUUUAGUGUAAUAGGUUCAUCCAACUCCACUAGUUUUUGCAUAUACAAACUUGCUCAUCAAAACGGCAAAUGCAUCAUUAUAUUUGGCUUUCGUCAGUAUUUUGGUGCUCUAUAUUAUACUUUUGACCUCAAAUCAGGUAGGGAUACCCGCUGAACUUAA